UACGGAGGAUCCAAGCGUCAUCCGGAUUUAUUGGGUUUAAAGGGUGCGUAGGCGGAUUGAUAAGUUAGAGGUGAAAUGUCCGAGCUCAACUCGGGAACUGCCUCUAAUACUGUUGAUCUAGAGAGUAGAUGCGGUAGGCGGAAUGUAUGGUGUAGCGGUGAAAUGCUUAGAGAUCAUACAGAACACCGAUUGCGAAGGCAGCUUACCAAUCUAUAUCUGACGUUGAGGCACGAAAGCGUGGGGAGCAAACAGG
This 253-nucleotide ribosomal RNA is filed under the name uncultured bacterium. RNAcentral's name for it is "partial 16S ribosomal RNA". It matches the Rfam family "Bacterial small subunit ribosomal RNA", at positions 524 to 776 of the family's 1533-position model. The record is from RNAcentral.